Mya arenaria is the source of this 399-nucleotide long non-coding RNA. RefSeq lists it as uncharacterized. The transcript has 2 exons. The record is from RefSeq and is a predicted model, not a curated record. Lineage: Eukaryota; Metazoa; Mollusca; Bivalvia; Myida; Myidae.
UUUGUCGACGGGAAAUCCAAUCAAGAAAACCCUGACCCUCAAGCAGCUACUGUAUUUGACCAGCUCACACCAGCUAGGCCUCCUCCAAAACUCAGAUAAAUAUUUGAGCCACCAAAAAAAAAAACGAGAACAGAUCGGUCUGAAUCGUUAAGAACUGAAGCUAACAUCAUAGAGGUACAUCCUUCCAAGAAUCCAUCAAAACAACAUGCUGAACAACUUCAAGAACUCUCUUCAAAAGACCACACUUUCCUGAAAUAAAUAAAAGAUGCCAAUAUUAAAAUAAAUCAGUUACAUGUAUUGUUAAAUAUUUUAAUACUAGCUGUAAAUGCUACUGCCUUUGAUGUUUGCUUUCUACAUGUAUAUCAUAAUGAAAUAUUGACAAGAUAAUAGCUAAUGUUU